AACGAACGCUGGCGGCAUGCCUGACACAUGCAAGUCGAACGAGACCUUCGGGUCUAGUGGCGCACGGGUGCGUAACGCGUGGGAACCUGCCCUUAGGUUCGGAAUAACUCCCCGAAAGGGGUGCUAAUACCGGAUAAUGUCUUCGGACCAAAGAUUUAUCGCCUUUGGAUGGGCCCGCGUUGGAUUAGCCAGUUGGUAGGGUAAAAGCCUACCAAGGCGACGAUCCAUAGCUGGUCUGAGAGGAUGAUCAGCCACACUGGGACUGAGACACGGCCCAGACUCCUACGGGAGGCAGCAGUGGGGAAUAUUGGACAAUGGGCGAAAGCCUGAUCCAGCAAUGCCGCGUGAGUGAUGAAGGCCUUAGGGUUGUAAAGCUCUUUUACCCGGGAUGAUAAUGACAGUACCGGGAGAAUAAGCUCCGGCUAACUCCGUG
RNAcentral lists this ribosomal RNA (433 nucleotides) under uncultured bacterium. RNAcentral describes it as "partial 16S ribosomal RNA". It matches the Rfam family "Bacterial small subunit ribosomal RNA", at positions 29 to 507 of the family's 1533-position model. The record is from RNAcentral.